This 301-nucleotide ribosomal RNA is filed under the name uncultured bacterium. RNAcentral's name for it is "partial 16S ribosomal RNA". It matches the Rfam family "Bacterial small subunit ribosomal RNA", at positions 509 to 807 of the family's 1533-position model. The record is from RNAcentral.
CAGCAGCCGCGGUAAUACGUAGGGUGCGAGCGUUAAUCGGAAUUACUGGGCGUAAAGCGUGCGCAGGCGGUUCGUUAAGACAGAUGUGAAAUCCCCGGGCUUAACCUGGGAACUGCAUUUGUGACUGGCGAGCUAGAGUAUGGCAGAGGGGGGUAGAAUUCCACGUGUAGCAGUGAAAUGCGUAGAGAUGUGGAGGAAUACCGAUGGCGAAGGCAGCCCCCUGGGCCAAUACUGACGCUCAUGCACGAAAGCGUGGGGAGCAAACAGGAUUAGAUACCCGGGUAGUCCCUGUCUCUUAUAC